This 315-nucleotide ribosomal RNA is filed under the name Ehrlichia chaffeensis. RNAcentral's name for it is "bacterial SSU rRNA". It matches the Rfam family "Bacterial small subunit ribosomal RNA", at positions 124 to 455 of the family's 1533-position model. Lineage: Bacteria; Pseudomonadati; Pseudomonadota; Alphaproteobacteria; Rickettsiales; Anaplasmataceae. The record is from RNAcentral.
AUCUACCUAGUAGUAUGGAAUAGCCAUUAGAAAUGAUGGGUAAUACUGUAUAAUCCCUGCGGGGGAAAGAUUUAUCGCUAUUAGAUGAGCCUACGUUAGAUUAGCUAGUUGGGAAGGUAAUGGCUUACCAAGGCUAUGAUCUAUAGCUGGUCUGAGAGGACGAUCAGCCACACUGGAACUGAGAUACGGUCCAGACUCCUACGGGAGGCAGCAGUGGGGAAUAUUGGACAAUGGGCGAAAGCCUGAUCCAGCUAUGCCGCGUGAGGGAAGAAGGCCUUCGGGUUGUAAAACUCUUUCAAUAGGGAAGAUAAUGAC